This 253-nucleotide ribosomal RNA is filed under the name uncultured bacterium. RNAcentral describes it as "partial 16S ribosomal RNA". It matches the Rfam family "Bacterial small subunit ribosomal RNA", at positions 524 to 776 of the family's 1533-position model. The record is from RNAcentral.
UACGUAGGGUGCGAGCGUUACUCGGAAUUACUGGGCGUAAAGCGUGCGUAGGCGGUUUAUUAAGCCAGAUGUGAAAUCCCCGGGCUAAUCCUGGGAAUGGCAUUCGAUACUGGCCGACUAGAGUACGAGAGAGGGAGGUAGAAGUCCACGUGUAGCGGUGAAAUGCGUAGAUAUGUGGAGGAAUACCGGUGGCGAAGGCGGCCUCCUGGAUCGAUACUGACGCUGAGGUGCGAAAGCGUGGGUAGCAAACAGG